This 589-nucleotide small RNA is filed under the name Pan troglodytes (chimpanzee). Its description in RNAcentral is "retained intron". The record is from RNAcentral. Lineage: Eukaryota; Metazoa; Chordata; Mammalia; Primates; Hominidae.
AGCACAGCCCAGGGAAACCUCCUCACAGCUUUCAUCCAGCCACGGGCCAGCAUGUCUGGGGGCAAAUACGUAGACUCGGAGGGACAUCUCUACACCGUUCCCAUCCGGGAACAGGGCAACAUCUACAAGCCCAACAACAAGGCCAUGGCAGACGAGCUGAGCGAGAAGCAAGUGUACGACGCGCACACCAAGGAGAUCGACCUGGUCAACCGCGACCCUAAACACCUCAACGAUGACGUGGUCAAGGUAAGCCAAGGCGACCAACAGGGAAGGGCUGGGACAGCUCUCCUCUGGCAGUUAGCCCGUGCAUCCUUCUUUAGCAUUGCCGUGUACGCACACCCCACCCCGCCCCCUACACGCGCGCGCACACACACACACACACACACACACACAGAGUUUUGUGGGUUUGAUGUGUGGGAGCUCCCGCAGUCGGCAGAAACGUUACAUCUCCCUUCCCCCAUCUCCCCCCAAUAGUUAGUUCAGCUGAAAUUCAGCUAAAGUGAGUUUUGUAGAAGUUCCUAUAACUACACUUUUAUCCUAGCAAAUGAACCUAUUGACCUCAGCAACAGACGGCCCAUACUCCUUGGGA